CGCGUAGGCGGUUUGUUAAGUCGGAUGUGAAAGCCCCGGGCUCAACCUGGGAAUUGCACCCGAUACUGGCCGACUAGAGUACGAGAGAGGGAGGUAGAAUUCCACGUGUAGCGGUGAAAUGCGUAGAUAUGUGGAGGAAUACCGGUGGCGAAGGCGGCCUCCUGGCUCGAUACUGACGCCGAGGUGCGAAAGCGUGGGGAGCAAACA
This 207-nucleotide ribosomal RNA is filed under the name uncultured bacterium. RNAcentral's name for it is "partial 16S ribosomal RNA". It matches the Rfam family "Bacterial small subunit ribosomal RNA", at positions 568 to 774 of the family's 1533-position model. The record is from RNAcentral.